AUAAUGAUACUUCAGCUCGGCUUAAUUUAUAUUGAGGGGUUGCUCGGUUGGAUAACGGAGAGGUUUAAAUACCUAUGU
The submitters of this non-coding RNA (78 nucleotides) gave its source as unclassified sequences. The record is from Rfam.